RNAcentral lists this long non-coding RNA (202 nucleotides) under Elaeis guineensis (African oil palm). RNAcentral describes it as "long non-coding RNA (EGUI_LNC066463)". Lineage: Eukaryota; Viridiplantae; Streptophyta; Magnoliopsida; Arecales; Arecaceae. The record is from RNAcentral.
AGAUCUAUGACAACCUAAUUUAGCAUAUCUCUAGUCGAGGGGCAAUCCACAAACCGACCUCUACUUUUCAAUGGAUCCAACUAUAUCUAUUGAAAAGCUUGAAUGAGAAUUUUUAUCCAAGUACUUGACUAUGAUAUGUGGAGUAUCAUAGUAAAUGGACCUCACACACCCACUAAAGUGAUUGAUGGUGUGUCUCUCCCUA